This 475-nucleotide ribosomal RNA is filed under the name uncultured bacterium. RNAcentral's name for it is "partial 16S ribosomal RNA". It matches the Rfam family "Bacterial small subunit ribosomal RNA", at positions 29 to 507 of the family's 1533-position model. The record is from RNAcentral.
AUGCACGCUAGCGGCAGGCCUAACACCUGCAAGUCGCGGGAGAAGCCUUUCGGGGCAGCAACCGGCGCACGGGUGCGUAACGCGUAUGCAACCUACCUUUCACAGGGGGAUAGCCCGAAGAAAUUUGGAUUAAUACCCCAUAAUAUUGUUGGAUGGCAUCAUCUGAUAAUUAAAACUGCGGUGGUGAAAGAUGGGCAUGCGUCCUAUUAGCUAGUUGGAGUGGUAACGGCACCCCAAGGCUACGAUAGGUAGGGGUCCUGAGAGGGAGAUCCCCCACACUGGUACUGAGACAGGGACCAGACUCCUACGGGAGGCAGCAGUGAGGAAUAUUGGUCAAUGGUCGGAAGACUGAACCAGCCAUGCCGCGUGCAGGAAGAAUGCCUUAUGGGUUGUAAACUGCUUUUAUAUGGGAAGAAUAAGGUGUACGUGUACAUUGAUGACGGUACCAUAUGAAUAAGCAUCGGCUAACUCCGUG